UCUGUGUUGGAUUUAAUUUGCUUCCUUGGUUUAAAAUUAUAUAGAUAGAUAGAUAGAGGUCUAUCUAUCUAUCUAUCUAUCUAUCUAUCUAUCUAUCUAUCUAUCUUCUAUUGUUAGUUCUGUAUCUUUCUGUAACCUCUCCCUGUUUUCUUAAAUACGCUUUAACCAACGAAAAAGUUUUUGCACAUUUUUUACAGAAGCACAACAUAUUGACAGUACAUAAAUAUUGUAUUCAACUUUUUCAUUUUGUUUACAUAGGCAUCGUCAUGUAAUCAUCACCUAAGAACUAGAACAUUAGCAGGCCCUAGAAGCCUCACUCUUGCCCCUCCCUUUAAUAUCUCAAAGGAUGACACUUCUGUGGUGUGUAGUGAGUCUCUACUUUUAUGGAAUCCUGCAAAGUGAUGCCUCAGGUAAGUGAAUGGCUUUUGACAAUGUAUUAAAAUGCAAGUCAUGCAUAGGGUAAUGAGUCCACUCU
This 475-nucleotide small RNA is filed under the name Pongo abelii (Sumatran orangutan). RNAcentral's name for it is "retained intron". The record is from RNAcentral. Lineage: Eukaryota; Metazoa; Chordata; Mammalia; Primates; Hominidae.